UCUCCGUUGGUGAACCAGCGGAGGGAUCAUUACCGAGUGCAAACUCAUAACCCUUUGUGAACCUAUAUCUGUUGCUUCGGCGGCUCGCUCUCGGGCGAGCCCGCCGGUAAUAUCAGUAUCUCUGUUUGAACCCGACGAUACUUCUGAGUGUUCUUAGCGAACAGUUAAAACUUUUAACAACGGAUCUCUUGGCUCUAACAUCGAUGAAGAACGCAGC
Molecule: unclassified non-coding RNA, 217 nt
Filed under: plant metagenome
Description: partial contains small subunit ribosomal RNA, internal transcribed spacer 1, and 5.8S ribosomal RNA
Rfam family: 5.8S ribosomal RNA (bases 169-217)
Source: RNAcentral